UGUGGGAGCGGGCUUGCUCGCGAAUGCGGUGGGUCAGCUGACAUUGACUAACCUGACACUCCCUCAUCGCGAGCAAGCCCGCUCCCACA
This 89-nucleotide unclassified non-coding RNA is filed under the name Pseudomonas kilonensis. The record is from RNAcentral. Lineage: Bacteria; Pseudomonadati; Pseudomonadota; Gammaproteobacteria; Pseudomonadales; Pseudomonadaceae.